RNAcentral lists this ribosomal RNA (74 nucleotides) under Listeria ivanovii. RNAcentral describes it as "partial 23S ribosomal RNA". RNAcentral also lists the same sequence under 4 other names. The record is from RNAcentral. Lineage: Bacteria; Bacillati; Bacillota; Bacilli; Caryophanales; Listeriaceae.
GUAGAUAGGUUUGGAGUGGAAGUGUAGCGAUACAUGGAGCGGACAAAUACUAAUCGAUCGAGGACUUAACCAAA